GUACACGCUGUGACUAGCAUAUCAAUAAGCGGAGGAAAAGAAACUAACAAGGAUUCCCCUAGUAACGGCGAGUGAAGCGGGAAGAGCUCAAAUUUGAAAUCUUAAAGGGUUUCCCUUUACGAAUUGUAGUUUAAAGAAGUGUUUUCUGUUGAGGUUUUGGUAAAAGUUCUUUGGAAUAGGACAUCAUAGAGGGUGAGAAUCCCGUAUUUGACCUUUACUUUCAACUUUGUGAUACACUUUCAAAGAGUCGGACUUGUUUGGGAAUGCAGUCCAAAAUGGGUGGUAAAUUUCAUCUAAAGCUAAAUAUUGGCGAGAGACCGAUAGCGAACAAGUACCGUGAGGGAAAGAUGAAAAGAACUUUGAAAAGAGAGUUAAACAGUACGUGAAAUUGUCAAAAGGGAAGCGUUUGACACCAGUGUUGUUUUUCUGAAAAUCAAUUAAAGAACUGUUUAUGCUAAGUUGUUUAGACUUUAUCAGCUAACUGUUUAGUUUUGAGCUUCUCUUUAAUGCACUUUUCAGUUAACAAGUCAACAUCAAUUUCUUUUGCUGUAAAAAAGCUUGAGGAAGGUGGCUUGAGAUUCGUCUUAAGUGUUUAUAGCCUCUUGCCUAUGCAGUCGGAGAGAUUGAGGUCUGCAGCGUAGAUCCUUCGGGGCUAAAUGCAUUUGUGCUAAGUUAUAGUAUUUCAUAGACAACUUGUUGACUAUGAUUUGUCUUGUAGCUUACUCGCUUAUGUUAUUUUACCUACGCUUAGGAUGUUGAGUCGUAGAGCACGCAG
Molecule: ribosomal RNA, 775 nt
Filed under: uncultured Neocallimastigales
Lineage: Eukaryota; Fungi; Neocallimastigomycota; Neocallimastigomycetes; Neocallimastigales
Description: partial large subunit ribosomal RNA
Rfam family: Eukaryotic large subunit ribosomal RNA
Source: RNAcentral